UUUUGCUUCGGCAGUUCAUAGUAUACUAAAAAAUGGAACGAUGCAAAGGAGAUUAGCAUGGCCCCUACGCAUGGAUGAUACGCAUAUUCAAGAAACAAACCUCCUUUUU
Small nuclear RNA from Parasteatoda tepidariorum (common house spider), 109 nucleotides. NCBI's taxonomy places the organism in Eukaryota, Metazoa, Arthropoda, Arachnida, Araneae, Theridiidae. The record is from RefSeq and is a predicted model, not a curated record.